Long non-coding RNA from Hypanus sabinus (Atlantic stingray), 683 nucleotides. RefSeq lists it as uncharacterized. NCBI's taxonomy places the organism in Eukaryota, Metazoa, Chordata, Chondrichthyes, Myliobatiformes, Dasyatidae. The transcript has 3 exons. The record is from RefSeq and is a predicted model, not a curated record.
CAUUCAGGCUUGCAGAUGUCAGAAACGGUCGGGAGUGAAAAUGAAGUGAUUUCACUACUUCAACAAAUAAGAAACUACAAAGAAUUUGAAGAUAUUGAUGACCAUCUUGAAUAUUACAAUGAAAAUAAAGAUUUGGAGGAUGCGGUCAUCGAUAGCAUUAUAUAAAGGCAGUCCAUUAUCUGCACUAGAUGUUCCUUCUGCAUGGCAUGAUGUAAGGCAGACCAAAGUGCACAUACACCUGGUCGCAUCCUCUUAGAGUUCAAGAUCUCCUGUCUGUUAUGGAUCUUCCAGCCAAGUCUAGGUAUUGAAGAGUGAAGAUUUGCCAAAGUGCGGAAACCCGAAGGAUCGAGUAAAGUUGGUGUCAUCCGUGGUAAUAGAGGAUCAACCUUAUUGGAUCUUCGGUCAAGGAAAUACUAACCUGCAUCUGAGAUAAUCCCUGCUGUAGGAGCAGAAAGGGUUGGGCGCAGUGUUAUUUGCCAAGGAAAAGGUCAGUUCCUUCAAGCCGUUUUUAUUUCCUUCAUCAUGAAUCCUUUGGGCAAGACAUAUUUCAGCUAGGAUCAGCAGUAACAUCACAUCGUCGAGGAAUUUGUUACUUCAGGAAUGUCUCUCCCAAUUGACUGUAUAAAUCAUUUGGACUUACACAUUUAUCACUUUAAGAACUGUGUUUGCAUUUAUCGUUUUAA